AAUUGCUAUUGCUACAUACUAAUAAUUUUCUGCCAAAGCCGUUUCUAUCAAAAAGAAAAAAAGGUCAAAUUCUUAAAAUAAGAGAAAAGAAAAUGGUUGCUUGCUACCUCUCUUGGCUUGUGAGAAUUUUGAUCAUGCUAACAACAAUCCUUCUCUUCUUUUCACUUAUUGGGGAAGCGGCACCAAUUUGCCAAGGAAAAUGUGAAGAUAUUGCUGAUUGUGAUGGGUAUUGCCGUAGAAUUGGUUUUAGUGGAGGCGCCUGUCAGCCUCCGCUUUUUCAAUUUUGUUGUUGCAACCAGUGAUAUAUAAUUCUUCAUAGCUAUUUGAGCUAAUAAAGUUAAUAAAAA
Long non-coding RNA from Gossypium arboreum, 347 nucleotides. RefSeq lists it as uncharacterized. The transcript is spliced from 2 exons. The record is from RefSeq and is a predicted model, not a curated record. Lineage: Eukaryota; Viridiplantae; Streptophyta; Magnoliopsida; Malvales; Malvaceae.